This 68-nucleotide transfer RNA is filed under the name Marmota monax (woodchuck). RNAcentral describes it as "tRNA.Ala". It matches the Rfam family "tRNA", at positions 6 to 65 of the family's 71-position model. From Rfam's summary of the family: Transfer RNA (tRNA) molecules are approximately 80 nucleotides in length. Their secondary structure includes four short double-helical elements and three loops (D, anti-codon, and T loops). Further hydrogen bonds mediate the characteristic L-shaped molecular structure. tRNAs have two regions of fundamental functional importance: the anti-codon, which is responsible for specific mRNA codon recognition, and the 3' end, to which the tRNAs corresponding amino acid is attached (by aminoacyl-tRNA synthetases). tRNAs cope with the degeneracy of the genetic code in two manners: having more than one tRNA (with a specific anti-codon) for a particular amino acid; and 'wobble' base-pairing, i.e. permitting non-standard base-pairing at the 3rd anti-codon position. Lineage: Eukaryota; Metazoa; Chordata; Mammalia; Rodentia; Sciuridae. The record is from RNAcentral.
GUUGUGGCUCAGUGGUAAGAGCACUUGCCUGGCAUGUGUAAGGCCCUGGGUUCGAUUCUCAGCACACA